Molecule: ribosomal RNA, 368 nt
Filed under: uncultured bacterium
Lineage: Bacteria
Description: bacterial SSU rRNA
Rfam family: Bacterial small subunit ribosomal RNA
Source: RNAcentral
GGAGGGUGCAAGCGUUAUCCGGAUUCACUGGGGUUUAAAGGGUGCGUAGGCGGGUAUGUAAGUCAGUGGUGAAAUCCCCGAGCUUAACUCGGGAACUGCCAUUGAUACUAUAUAUCUUGAAUGUUCUGGAGGUAUGCGGAAUAUGUCAUGUAGCGGUGAAAUGCUUAGAGAUGACAUAGAACACCUAUUGCGAAGGCAGCAUACUACGGAAAUAUUGACGCUGAGGCACGAAAGUGUGGGGAUCAAACAGGAUUAGAUACCCUGGUAGUCCACACCGUAAACGAUGGAUACUCGACAUACGCGAUACACAGUGUGUGUCUGAGCGAAAGCAUUAAGUAUCCCACCUGGGAAGUACGACCGCAAGGUUG